CCUACGGGAGGCAGCAGUCGGGAAUCUUCCGCAAUGGGCGAAAGCCUGACGGAGCGACGCCGCGUGAGCGAUGAAGGCCUUCGGGUUGUAAAGCUCUGUGGGGAGAGAAGAAUAAGUUCAGGCGAAUACCCUGAAUGAUGACGGUAUCUCCUUAGCAAGCACCGGCUAACUCUGUGCCAGCAGCCGCGGUAAGACAGAGGGUGCAAACGUUGUUCGGAUUUACUGGGCGUAAAGCGUGUGUAGGCGGCUUCGUAAGUUGGAUGUGAAAUCCCACGGCUCAACCGUGGACGUGCAUCCAAAACUACGUCGCUGGAGUCUCGGAGAGGAAGGUGGAAUGCUUGGUGUAGAGGUGAAAUUCGUAGAUAUCAAGCAGAACACCUGCGGCGAAGGCGGCCUUCUGGACGAUGACUGACGCUGAGACACGAAAGCGUGGGGAGCAAACAGGAUUAGAUACCCGGGUAGUC
RNAcentral lists this ribosomal RNA (464 nucleotides) under Weissella confusa. Its description in RNAcentral is "bacterial SSU rRNA". It matches the Rfam family "Bacterial small subunit ribosomal RNA", at positions 338 to 795 of the family's 1533-position model. Lineage: Bacteria; Bacillati; Bacillota; Bacilli; Lactobacillales; Lactobacillaceae. The record is from RNAcentral.